This 1899-nucleotide long non-coding RNA is filed under the name Phoenix dactylifera (date palm). RNAcentral describes it as "long non-coding RNA (PDAC_LNC005794)". The record is from RNAcentral. Lineage: Eukaryota; Viridiplantae; Streptophyta; Magnoliopsida; Arecales; Arecaceae.
CGACUUGUCCUAGAUAGAAUCACUAUCAUUUGCUUUAUCCAACAUGUCUGCUACAAUUCCGCCUCUUAUCCGCUCCCUACGCUUGCGAACUCUAAAAGAGUGCUCGACCACCACAAUCCUGAGCUUCGUCAAUAGGCGUCCAAUCCUGGGAAAAAGGUAGGGUAGAAUCGCCGAGUCGUCUAGCACCGUCCCCUGCCUCAACUCCACAAUCACAAUCAUUUGUAAAAAAAGGUGGUUUGCUGCUGAUCCUUUCCCCGGCAUUGGAAAGACCUGACUGGUCUUGGUAAGUACCUGACAAACCUAAGGCUUGGAACUGAACUCAACUGACAGAAUGACUUGUAUGGAAUUGAGUUUAGUUUGGCCACAGGAGCAAAGGUCUCGAGAUAAUCGAUGCCAUAGGUUUGUGUGAAAUGGUCUUUUAGCGCUGCUUUCACAUGAUGCAAUAUCUAGGCCUCCUAGACCUGCUCUCUCGCCUAAGCCUCAUAGCAUUCAUAUUCCAAGCACUAAGUAUUACCUGCCCGCUUAGAUGCGUCAAUCCGCCUUCGGCCGUCUGUCGGAGAUUCUCUCUCGAGAUUUCUCCCCAAGUUAUAGGAUUUUCGUCUUCCUUAAGCACAUACUCACAAAUCGUCCCCCAUGACUUAUGGAACAAAACGUAAAUUUGAGCACCCCCGAAUUCAGGGAAAGCUUCCCUUAAUUUAGACGUUGCGGUAUACCUACUAGCAUUCUAGUUUAGAAGGGAAUAAGGGGCCUAAGCACGGCAGAUGCCGUACACUUGAGUGGCAAAGGAAAGCGAGACCGUACCUGUUUUUCCAGGCCUGUUCGGUUUCGGUCGGGAGACUACUCUAGAAAGAUUGAUUCCAAAACCACAACUGUACACCACCAAAGGGACCACGAAAGCAAAUAUGAGCCCCGAGACUAGGAUCCAGCCUUCUUCCGAGAGGAAAGAGCGGCUCAAGAAGUGGAACUACUAAGACCCGCGAGGGUCAUCCUUUCUUGAAUCGUAGCUCUCUCACAGGGCGAGGGACUAUUUGGCAUUUGCAUUAUUAAUUAGUUGGCAAGUCGGGCGCGUCCUCGGAGGGACUUCCCGAAUGACCGUACCGGGGAAUUCUACCGUACUCCGUGCUAUAUGAGCUCCCCGAGUGCUUUCUUCCUGGCUUUAGGAGGUAAUGAUCUUCGUUCCUCCCUCAGGGAGUGACUUUGUUAAUUGGAAUAUGCCUCAUAUCUUAAGUUGACCUAUUGCCUUAGCUUGACUUUGUUAUCCCGUUCGUGACCAAUACCCAUUGGUCACUUCACUCCCUUAAGAGGAGAUUCAACAAUAAGUAGCUUGGACUGUUCGGGCGGACAGAUUAGUCAAAAUGUAUCUAUCCAUGUUCUCAGUGUCUAAGCUGAUUCUUGUUCGGGACCUAGCUCGGAUGAAUCAUUCGAAUCUAAUCUGGUUCUGGUGAUUGCGUCUAGUAAUCCUUUAUUUAGUUGGUGGGACUCACAUUUCCUAUUCUUGAGUCUUCACUCGAUGUAUGCGCUUUCCAUUCACAAGAAUUGCGUAACAAAAAACAAUCCGUGAAUUCUUUUUUGAACAUUAAAGUGUGCUAAAAAAAGGAAAUUCUAUACAGCUCCUGAUUAUUCUGUCUGGCCCUCAUCUUUAGCGUGGAUAUCAUUGGUAUAAAUGAAUGAAACUGGAAUAUUGAAGGCUUGUUUCUGUCCAUAUAUAUGCAACUCUAACUCCAUAAAUUCUGGGCGUUUUCGAACGAAUUCUCCAAGUGCACCCUCUACGUCCCUUACUGCUAGUCUUGUUGGGACUGCGGAAAUGAGAGGACUCGUCAGUGUCGAUGUCACUGCAACCAAGGUAUGCGACCUCCAAAACCACCACUACACCCCCCUCGUGCAUCAGUGUGUGCUGCU